CUUAGACCUCAUUUAAAGUCUGACUGCCACAAGGAACAAAUCUCUGGUUGGAGAUCCCUCACUUGUGGAGUUUUCUGUGUGAGCCUAGAUAUUCAACUUUAGGUACUUUGGGAGGGCUGUAUGAAAUGGGGCCUGAAGGCCACUGGUAGUCAGUGGUGAAAGUAUGGCUUGCAUCCUUCUGCAGUGAGUCUUCUAGCUGCUGCAAGAGAUGGGCACGACAUGUCUCCAUGAAGGGGAACAACACAAGCUCCCAUUUCAUUUCACCUUCUUCAGGAAGCUUCUAGCCCUCCUUGUUCAACUCUACUUGGCCAACGGCAAGCACUGCAUUAAUGCUUUCAACAACUGAGGCAAACAGGAACUUUGUGGUGUUCUGAAACUACCAGAGACGUUCAUUCUAAUUCACUUCUGUUUAUUCAAGUCCACUGCAAGAGCAACUAACAAAAUUAUGUCAUGUGUCCGCUCAGUUGCCUAACAGAAUUCAGAAGGAAACUUUUUUUCAUGCUGUCCCUCCCAGUUUGUGUUUACCCGUGUUAUUCCUACAGCAGAACUAUGCCAAUGAGAUUGGUGAAUGUAUUGACAUUAUCUAGCUGUUUUUUAUCUGUGAAGUGUAACAUCGGUGCAUCUUACUGUUAUUAAUCAAUUUUAAAUCAAAGAAUGUACAAACAGGCUUCACUGCUGCAUUUCCCAACUUUUGAGUGAUAUAUUACGCAACUUGCUUGUCACACAAAAAAUGGAAGGCUUGAGGGGAAGAAAUUAAAAUAAUUAUAAAUUGGA
This is a long non-coding RNA of Tympanuchus pallidicinctus (lesser prairie-chicken), 774 nucleotides long. RefSeq lists it as uncharacterized. The record is from RefSeq and is a predicted model, not a curated record. Lineage: Eukaryota; Metazoa; Chordata; Aves; Galliformes; Phasianidae. The transcript is spliced from 3 exons.